ACGGGAGGCAGCAGUGGGGAAUAUUGGACAAUGGGCGCAAGCCUGAUCCAGCGACGCCGCGUGAGUGAAGAAGUAUUUCGGUAUGUAAAGCUCUAUCAGCAGGGAAGAUAAUGACGGUACCUGACUAAGAAGCCCCGGCUAACUCCGUGCCAGCAGCCGCGGUAAUACGGAGGAUCCGAGCGUUAUCCGGAUUUAUUGGGUUUAAAGGGUGCGCAGGCGGCCCUGUAAGUCAGCGGUUAAAUCGUGGAGCUCAACUCCAUCCCGCCGUUGAUACUGCAGGGCUUGAUUGCGGUCGAGGUUGGCGGAAUUCGUCGUGUAGCGGUGAAAUGCAUAGAUAUGGCGAAGAACUCCGAUUGCGUAGGCAGCUGACCAGGCCGUAAAUGACGCUCAUGCACGAAAGUGCGGGGAUCGAACAGGAUUAGAUACCCUGGUA
RNAcentral lists this ribosomal RNA (433 nucleotides) under uncultured Lachnoanaerobaculum sp. RNAcentral describes it as "partial 16S ribosomal RNA". It matches the Rfam family "Bacterial small subunit ribosomal RNA", at positions 341 to 792 of the family's 1533-position model. Lineage: Bacteria; Bacillati; Bacillota; Clostridia; Lachnospirales; Lachnospiraceae. The record is from RNAcentral.